UUGGAAUAAGUUUUACAUACCUACAUGUAUGCGUAAAUUAAAUUCAAAUUCGAAUUUCAGUUUUUAUUACAUUUUUGAAAAGUUCUGUAUUUGGAGAUAAAUUAAAUAUUUGAAAAUACUGAUUUUCCGGAGCUGUCGAUCGGCGUCGAAUUGGAUAAUUGCGGUAGAGUGUUGAAGCGGCGCUGUGUAUAUGCGAAAAUAUGAUGGGCGAACUGUAUGGGACGAAUUGUGUAAAAGAAUGUGUUGUAUCUGCUCAAGAGACCAUCCUUUAUGCUGAGUGGGUGGAUGUACAAGUGUGGAGAGUUGUCUUGUGUGCGCGUGUGGUGUCGUCAAGUAUUCGUGUUUGCUAGUUUUUCCGGAUUAAGUGGGGCAUGCUUAACUCAUUUAAACAACAUGUAUGUAUACCGUUCGCACUAAAGUCGGGUCUCAGUAGCCGAAACCGACGCGGAUUUUUAUCCGGUCAAGGACAAUCCAGUCUGCACCAUUCCUCGAUACCACUUCUGCUACAAAAACAACAGUGUAAAAUAUGACUGAAGACCGAAAGAACUCUCGGAAACAGUACCAUUUACCAUUAUACAUUAUAUUUCCUUUGGGAAUCUAACUCUUCUACAACUCUUCUAUUGAAAAAUAAACCCAAAUUUACGGCGUGUGCAUGCUGAGUAGGCAGCGAUCUUCAUACAUAUUUUCCACUAAACGAAAACACAUACUUUUACAUUUCAUACAAUAAUUUAUUAUCGYCUUUUAUUUCGAACAAAAUAUAAAAAAUUAUUGCAAUAAUAUUUACUUAUAUAUAAUAUCGUAUUAAGUUAUAGCUAAAACUGAGUUAUAAAAAAAAAAAAUUAAAAAUUGAUAAUAGAAAUAAUUGUUCAGUUUAAUAUCUACAAUUGCGAUUACACGCGCGAAUAUAUUCAUUAUAGUUUAUUUAUAAUAUUAAUAUUGAUUUAAGCCCAAUUCUUGUCUGACAAGUGCGAAUUGUACAGAUUAUGCUACAUUUACAUAUUGGCAAAUAAAAACGGAAGAAAAAUCAAAA
Molecule: long non-coding RNA, 1030 nt
Organism: Bactrocera latifrons
Lineage: Eukaryota; Metazoa; Arthropoda; Insecta; Diptera; Tephritidae
Exons: 2
Source: RefSeq, a predicted model, not a curated record